RNAcentral lists this ribosomal RNA (3014 nucleotides) under Salmonella enterica subsp. enterica serovar 1,4,[5],12:i:-. Its description in RNAcentral is "23S ribosomal RNA". It matches the Rfam family "Bacterial large subunit ribosomal RNA". The record is from RNAcentral. Lineage: Bacteria; Pseudomonadati; Pseudomonadota; Gammaproteobacteria; Enterobacterales; Enterobacteriaceae.
GGGUUGUGAGGUUAAGCGACUAAGCGUACACGGUGGAUGCCCUGGCAGUCAGAGGCGAUGAAGGGCGUGCUAAUCUGCGAUAAGCGCCGGUAAGGUGAUAUGAACCGUUAUAACCGGCGAUACCCGAAUGGGGAAACCCAGUGUGAUUCGUCACACUAUCAUUAACUGAAUCCAUAGGUUAAUGAGGCGAACCGGGGGAACUGAAACAUCUAAGUACCCCGAGGAAAAGAAAUCAACCGAGAUUCCCCCAGUAGCGGCGAGCGAACGGGGAGGAGCCCAGAGCCUGAAUCAGCAUGUGUGUUAGUGGAAGCGUCUGGAAAGGUGCGCGAUACAGGGUGACAGCCCCGUACACAAAAGCGCAUGUGCUGUGAGCUCGAUGAGUAGGGCGGGACACGUGGUAUCCUGUCUGAAUAUGGGGGGACCAUCCUCCAAGGCUAAAUACUCCUGACUGACCGAUAGUGAACCAGUACCGUGAGGGAAAGGCGAAAAGAACCCCGGCGAGGGGAGUGAAAAAGAACCUGAAACCGUGUACGUACAAGCAGUGGGAGCACAGGUUUACCUGUGUGACUGCGUACCUUUUGUAUAAUGGGUCAGCGACUUAUAUUCUGUAGCAAGGUUAACCGUAUAGGGGAGCCGUAGGGAAACCGAGUCUUAACCGGGCGUUAAGUUGCAGGGUAUAGACCCGAAACCCGGUGAUCUAGCCAUGGGCAGGUUGAAGGUUGGGUAACACUAACUGGAGGACCGAACCGACUAAUGUUGAAAAAUUAGCGGAUGACCUGUGGCUGGGGUGAAAGGCCAAUCAAACCGGGAGAUAGCUGGUUCUCCCCGAAAGCUAUUUAGGUAGCGCCUCGUGAAUUCAUCUCCGGGGUAGAGCACUGUUUCGGCUAGGGGCCAUCCCGGCUUACCAACCCGAUGCAAACUGCGAAUACCGGAGAAUGUUAUCACGGGAGACACACGGCGGGUGCUAACGUCCGUCGUGAAGAGGGAAACAACCCAGACCGCCAGCUAAGGUCCCAAAGUCAUGGUUAAGUGGGAAACGAUGUGGGAAGGCCCAGACAGCCGUGAUGUUGGCUUAGAAGCAGCCAUCAUUUAAAGAAAGCGUAAUAGCUCACUGGUCGAGUCGGCCUGCGCGGAAGAUGUAACGGGGGGCUAAACCAUGCACCGAAGCUGCGGCAGCGAACGUAUCACCCAAGACAACUUUACGGAGUUGACGAUUGACGGAGCGAAGCGACGUCAAAGCGUUCAUUAAAGUCGAGUUGGCUUAGGGAUACGUUCGUUGGGUAGGGGAGCGUUCUGUAAGCCUGUGAAGGUGUGUCGUGAGGCAUGCUGGAGGUAUCAGAAGUGCGAAUGCUGACAUAAGUAACGAUAAAGCGGGUGAAAAGCCCGCUCGCCGGAAGACCAAGGGUUCCUGUCCAACGUUAAUCGGGGCAGGGUGAGUCGACCCCUAAGGCGAGGCCGAAAGGCGUAGUCGAUGGGAAACGGGUUAAUAUUCCCGUACUUGGUGUUACUGCGAAGGGGGGACGGAGAAGGCUAUGUUGGCCGGGCGACGGUUGUCCCGGUUUAAGCGUGUAGGUGUGUGUUCCAGGUAAAUCCGGUUCACUUUAACACUGAGGCGUGACGACGAGGCACUACGGUGCUGAAGCAACAAAUGCCCUGCUUCCGUGGGAAAAGCCUCUAAGCAUCAGGUAACACGAAAUCGUACCCCAAACCGACACAGGUGGUCAGGUAGAGAAUACCAAGGCGCUUGAGAGAACUCGGGUGAAGGAACUAGGCAAAAUGGUGCCGUAACUUCGGGAGAAGGCACGCUGACACGUAGGUGAAGUGAUUUACUCAUGGAGCUGAAGUCAGUCGAAGAUACCAGCUGGCUGCAACUGUUUAUUAAAAACACAGCACUGUGCAAACACGAAAGUGGACGUAUACGGUGUGACGCCUGCCCGGUGCCGGAAGGUUAAUUGAUGGGGUCAGCGUAAGCGAAGCUCCUGAUCGAAGCCCCGGUAAACGGCGGCCGUAACUAUAACGGUCCUAAGGUAGCGAAAUUCCUUGUCGGGUAAGUUCCGACCUGCACGAAUGGCGUAAUGAUGGCCAGGCUGUCUCCACCCGAGACUCAGUGAAAUUGAACUCGCUGUGAAGAUGCAGUGUACCCGCGGCAAGACGGAAAGACCCCGUGAACCUUUACUAUAGCUUGACACUGAACAUUGAGCCUUGAUGUGUAGGAUAGGUGGGAGGCUUUGAAGUGUGGACGCCAGUCUGCAUGGAGCCGACCUUGAAAUACCACCCUUUAAUGUUUGAUGUUCUAACGUGGACCCGUAAUCCGGGUUGCGGACAGUGUCUGGUGGGUAGUUUGACUGGGGCGGUCUCCUCCCUAAAGAGUAACGGAGGAGCACGAAGGUUGGCUAAUCUGGUCGGACAUCAGGAGGUUAGUGCAAUGGCAUAAGCCAGCUUGACUGCGAGCGUGACGGCGCGAGCAGGUGCGAAAGCAGGUCAUAGUGAUCCGGUGGUUCUGAAUGGAAGGGCCAUCGCUCAACGGAUAAAAGGUACUCCGGGGAUAACAGGCUGAUACCGCCCAAGAGUUCAUAUCGACGGCGGUGUUUGGCACCUCGAUGUCGGCUCAUCACAUCCUGGGGCUGAAGUAGGUCCCAAGGGUAUGGCUGUUCGCCAUUUAAAGUGGUACGCGAGCUGGGUUUAGAACGUCGUGAGACAGUUCGGUCCCUAUCUGCCGUGGGCGCUGGAGAACUGAGGGGGGCUGCUCCUAGUACGAGAGGACCGGAGUGGACGCAUCACUGGUGUUCGGGUUGUCAUGCCAAUGGCACUGCCCGGUAGCUAAAUGCGGAAGAGAUAAGUGCUGAAAGCAUCUAAGCACGAAACUUGCCCCGAGAUGAGUUCUCCCUGAGACUUAGAGUCUCCUGAAGGAACGUUGAAGACGACGACGUUGAUAGGCCGGGUGUGUAAGCGCAGCGAUGCGUUGAGCUAACCGGUACUAAUGAACCGUGAGGCUUAACCUUACAACGCCGAAG